UACAGAGGGUGCAAGCGUUGUUCGGAAUUACUGGGCGUAAAGCGAGCGUAGUCGGUAUUGAGAGUCAUAGGUGAAAUCCCAGGGCUUAACCCUGGAACUGCCCGUGAGACCUCAGUACUAGAGUGUGAGAGGGGAUAGUGGAAUACCAAGUGUAGCGGUGAAAUGCGUAGAGAUUUGGUGGAACACCGGUGGCGAAGGCGGCUAUCUGGCUCACAACUGACGAUCAGGCUCGAAAGCGUGGGGAGCAAAC
This 250-nucleotide ribosomal RNA is filed under the name uncultured bacterium. RNAcentral describes it as "partial 16S ribosomal RNA". It matches the Rfam family "Bacterial small subunit ribosomal RNA", at positions 524 to 773 of the family's 1533-position model. The record is from RNAcentral.